RNAcentral lists this ribosomal RNA (465 nucleotides) under uncultured bacterium. RNAcentral's name for it is "bacterial SSU rRNA". It matches the Rfam family "Bacterial small subunit ribosomal RNA", at positions 338 to 795 of the family's 1533-position model. The record is from RNAcentral.
CCUACGGGGGGCAGCAGUAGGGAAUCUUCCGCAAUGGACGAAAGUCUGUCGGAGCAACGCCGCGUGAGCGAAGAAGGUCUUCGGAUCGUAAAGCUCUGUUGUUAGGGAAGAACAAGUACGGGAGGAAAUGACCGUACCUUGACGGUACCUAACGAGGAAGCCACGGGUAACUACGUGCCAGCAGCCGCGGUAAUACGUAGGUGGAAAGCGUUGACCGGAAUUAUUGGGCGUAAAGCGUGCGCAGAGGGUCUUUUAAGUCUGAUGUGAAAUCUUGCGGCUCAACCGCAGGCGGUCAUGGGAAACUGGGAUAAUUGAGUGCAGAAGAGGAAAGCGGAAAUCCACGUGUAGCGGGGAAAGGCGUAUAGAUGUGGAGGAACACCAGUGGCGAAGGCGGCUUUCUGUUCUGUAGCUGACGCUGAGGCGCGAAAGCGUGAGGAGCAGACAGGUUUAGAUACCCCUGUAGUC